GCAGUCGCCGCGGGAAAACGGAGGGUGCAAGCGUUAUCCGGAUUUAUUGGGUUUAAAGGGUCCGUAGGCGGACUUAUAAGUCAGUGGUGAAAGCCUGUCGCUUAACGAUAGAACUGCCAUUGAUACUGUAAGUCUUGAGUAUAUUUGAGGUAGCUGGAAUAAGUAGUGUAGCGGUGAAAUGCAUAGAUAUUACUUAGAACACCAAUUGCGAAGGCAGGUUACCAAGAUAUAACUGACGCUGAGGGACGAAAGCGUGGGUAGCGAACAGGAUUAGAUACCCGGGUAGUCCCUGUCUCUUAUAC
This 302-nucleotide ribosomal RNA is filed under the name uncultured bacterium. RNAcentral describes it as "partial 16S ribosomal RNA". It matches the Rfam family "Bacterial small subunit ribosomal RNA", at positions 508 to 807 of the family's 1533-position model. The record is from RNAcentral.